RNAcentral lists this ribosomal RNA (446 nucleotides) under uncultured bacterium. RNAcentral's name for it is "partial 16S ribosomal RNA". It matches the Rfam family "Bacterial small subunit ribosomal RNA", at positions 338 to 795 of the family's 1533-position model. The record is from RNAcentral.
CCUACGGGCGACAGCAGUCGAGAAUCAUUCACAAUGGGGGAAACCCUGAUGGUGCGACGCCGCGUGGGGGAAUGAAGGUCUUCGGAUUGUAAACCCCUGUCAUGUGGGAGCAAAUUAAAAAGAUAGUACCACAAGAGGAAGAGACGGCUAACUCUGUGCCAGCAGCCGCGGUAAUACAGAGGUCUCAAGCGUGGUUCGGAAUCACUGGGCGUAAAGGGUGCGUAGGCUGUUUCGUAAGUCGUGUGUGAAAGGCGCGGGCUCAACCCGCGGACGGCACAUGAUACUGCGAGACUAGAGUAAUGGAGGGGGAACCGGAAUUCUCGGUGUAGCAGUGAAAUGCGUAGAUAUCGAGAGGAACACUCGUGGCGAAGGCGGGUUCCUGGACAUUAACUGACGCUGAGGCACGAAGGCCAGGGGAGCGAAAGGGAUUAGAUACCCCGGUAGUC